Molecule: ribosomal RNA, 253 nt
Filed under: uncultured bacterium
Lineage: Bacteria
Description: partial 16S ribosomal RNA
Rfam family: Bacterial small subunit ribosomal RNA
Source: RNAcentral
UACGUACGGGGCUAGCGUUGUCCGGAAUCAUUGGGCGUAAAGCGCGUGUAGGCGGCCCGGUAAGUCCGCUGUGAAAGUCGGGGGCUCAACCCUCGGAUGCCGGUGGAUACUGUCGGGCUCGAGUACGGAAGAGGCGAGUGGAAUUCCUGGUGUAGCGGUGAAAUGCGUAGAUAUCAGGAGGAACACCGGUGGCGAAGGCGCUCAUCUGGCCCAAUACUGACGCUGAGGCGCGAAAGCUAGGGGAGCAAACGGG